AUGGAUUGCAAAACAGAUUUCUUUGAUCAUUGUGAGGUUGAAACCUGGUCGCCGCUGUGGAUUAAAGAUUUUGUGCAGCAGCUUGGCUAUGAUCCAAGUAAAGUGCAGUGUUUCUGGUUACUUCCUGGAAUGAAUUUGGAUAAUGGACUGAGAAUUAUUGAUAGAGAUGCAGACUGUCUUAGUAUGACUGCUGUUGUGCCAAAGUUCAAGCAUUUCAAGUUGUACAUGGAUCAUGGUGAUAUUUAUAGCGAGCUGAAUAUGGAUGACAUAUGCAUAAUUGGCUCACCUACAAUGCCUGAUAUCAUGAGUCCUGUGAAGCCAUAA
This 324-nucleotide ribosomal RNA is filed under the name Triticum aestivum (bread wheat). Its description in RNAcentral is "partial small subunit ribosomal RNA". Lineage: Eukaryota; Viridiplantae; Streptophyta; Magnoliopsida; Poales; Poaceae. The record is from RNAcentral.